RNAcentral lists this ribosomal RNA (450 nucleotides) under uncultured Glomeromycotina. RNAcentral describes it as "SSU rRNA". It matches the Rfam family "Eukaryotic small subunit ribosomal RNA", at positions 569 to 1024 of the family's 1831-position model. The record is from RNAcentral. Lineage: Eukaryota; Fungi; Glomeromycota.
AGCAGCCGCGGUAAUUCCAGCUCCAAUAGCGUAUAUUAAAGUUGUUGCAGUUAAAAAGCUCGUAGUUGAAUUUCGGGAUCAAUAUGUCGGUCGUGCCAUUGGUACGUACUGGUAUCAUUGAUUUCUCCUUUCUGACGAACCAUGAUGUCAUUAAUUUGGUGUUAUGGGGAGUUAGGACUGUUACUUUGAAAAAUUAGAGUGUUUAAAGCAGGCAUUAGCUUGAAUACAUUAGCAUGGAAUAAUGAAAUAGGACGUUUGACCCUAUUUUGUUGGUUUCUAGGAUCGACGUAAUGAUUAAUAGGGAUAGUUGGGGGCAUUAGUAUUCAAUUGUCAGAGGUGAAAUUCUUGGAUUUAUUGAAGACUAACUACUGCGAAAGCAUUUGCCAAGGAUGUUUUCAUUAAUCAAGAACGAAAGUUAGGGGAUCGAAGACGAUCAGAUACCGUCGUAGU